AAUCCUAUCCAGGAUUGGGGGCGUGACAGUGUGGUCGCAAGGCUGAAACUUAAAGGAAUUGAUGGAAGGGCACCACCAGGAGUGGAGCCUGCAGCUUAAUUUGACUCAGCACGGGACCAGGUCCAGACAUAGUAAGGAUUUACAGACUGAGAGCUCUUUCUUGAUUCUAUGGGUGGUGGUGCAUGGCCGUUCUUAGUUGGUGGAGCGAUUCGUCUGGUUAAUUCCGUUAAAGAAUGAGACCUCAGCCUGCUAACUAGCUUCGUGGAGGCAUCCCUUCACGGCCGGCUUCUUAGAGGGACUAUGACCUUUAGGGCAAGGAAGUUUGAGGCAAUAACAAGUCUGUGAUGCCCUUAGAUUUUUUGGGCCGCACACGCGCUACACUGAUGUAUUCAACGAGUUAACACCUUGGCCGACAGGCCCGGAUAAUCUUUAAAAUUUCAUCGUGAUGGGGAUAGAUCAUUGCAAUUGUUGGUCUUCAACGAGGAAAUCCUAGUAAGCGCGAGUCAUCAGCUCGCGUUGACUAAGUCCCUGCCCUUUGUACACACCACCCAUCGCUCCUACCGAUUGAAUGAUCCGGUGAAGUGUUCGGAUCGCGGCGACGUGGGCGGUUUGCCGUCUGCGACAUCACGAGAAGUCCACUAAACCUUAUCAUUUAGAGGAAGGAAAAUUCGUAACAAGGUUUCCCGUAGGUGAACCUGCGGAAGGAUCAUUG
RNAcentral lists this non-coding RNA (712 nucleotides) under Brassica napus (rape). Its description in RNAcentral is "rRNA SSU_rRNA_eukarya". It matches the Rfam family "Eukaryotic small subunit ribosomal RNA", at positions 1096 to 1831 of the family's 1831-position model. The record is from Rfam by way of RNAcentral. Lineage: Eukaryota; Viridiplantae; Streptophyta; Magnoliopsida; Brassicales; Brassicaceae.